AGGACGAACGCUGGCGGCGUGCUUAACACAUGCAAGUCGAGCGGAAAGGCCCUUCGGGGUACUCGAGCGGCGAACGGGUGAGUAACACGUGAGUAAUCUGCCCCUAGCUCUGGGAUAGCUCCGGGAAAACCGGGAUUAAUACCGGAUAUGACCACUUUAGACAUCUGCUGUGGUGGAAAGAAUUUCGGCUAGGGAUGAGCUCGCGGCCUAUCAGCUUGUGGUGGGUAACGGCCUACCAAGGCGACGACGGGUA
This 253-nucleotide ribosomal RNA is filed under the name uncultured bacterium. RNAcentral describes it as "partial small subunit ribosomal RNA". It matches the Rfam family "Bacterial small subunit ribosomal RNA", at positions 26 to 285 of the family's 1533-position model. The record is from RNAcentral.